Molecule: transfer RNA, 72 nt
Filed under: Camelus bactrianus (Bactrian camel)
Lineage: Eukaryota; Metazoa; Chordata; Mammalia; Artiodactyla; Camelidae
Also listed under: 1 other name
Rfam family: tRNA
About the family: Transfer RNA (tRNA) molecules are approximately 80 nucleotides in length. Their secondary structure includes four short double-helical elements and three loops (D, anti-codon, and T loops).
Source: Rfam by way of RNAcentral
GAGGGUAUAGCUCAGUGGUAGAGUGUAUGCUUAGCAUGCAGGAGGGUCUGGGUUCAAUCCCCAGUGCCUCCA